RNAcentral lists this ribosomal RNA (253 nucleotides) under uncultured bacterium. Its description in RNAcentral is "partial 16S ribosomal RNA". It matches the Rfam family "Bacterial small subunit ribosomal RNA", at positions 524 to 776 of the family's 1533-position model. The record is from RNAcentral.
GACGUAGGGCGCGAGCGUUGUCCGGAUUUAUUGGGCGUAAAGAGCUCGUAGGCGGCUUGUCGCGUCGAUCGUGAAAACUUGGGGCUCAACCCCAAGCCUGCGGUCGAUACGGGCAGGCUCGAGUUCGGUAGGGGAGACUGGAAUUCCUGGUGUAGCGGUGAAAUGCGCAGAUAUCAGGAGGAACACCGGUGGCGAAGGCGGGUCUCUGGGCCGAUACUGACGCUGAGGAGCGAAAGCGUGGGGAGCGAACAGG